UCUUCUUGUGUUCUCAGUGCCAUAUUCUUCCUGUUCUUUGGAAGGGUGUCCUCAAGCUCUUCAUGAGCUUUACAUGUCAUUUCAUAGGUCAUUAGUGACCCAAUUAGUUCUUCAAGAGGAAAAUUAUUUAGAUCUUUGGCCUCUUGAAUGGUCGUUACUUUAGGAUCCCAACUUUUUGGAAGGGAUCUUAAAAUCUUAUUAA
RNAcentral lists this long non-coding RNA (202 nucleotides) under Musa acuminata (dwarf banana). RNAcentral's name for it is "long non-coding RNA (MACU_LNC005251)". Lineage: Eukaryota; Viridiplantae; Streptophyta; Magnoliopsida; Zingiberales; Musaceae. The record is from RNAcentral.